This 468-nucleotide ribosomal RNA is filed under the name uncultured bacterium. RNAcentral describes it as "partial 16S ribosomal RNA". It matches the Rfam family "Bacterial small subunit ribosomal RNA", at positions 28 to 507 of the family's 1533-position model. The record is from RNAcentral.
GACGAACGCUGGCGGCGUGCUUAACACAUGCAAGUCGAACGGAAAGGCCCUGCUUUUGUGGGGUGCUCGAGUGGCGAACGGGUGAGUAACACGUGAGUAACCUGCCCUUGACUUUGGGAUAACUUCAGGAAACUGGGGCUAAUACCGGAUAGGCGCUCCUGCUGCAUGGUGGGGGUUGGAAAGUUUCGGCGGUUGGGGUUGGACUCGCGGCUUAUCAGCUUGUUGGUGGGGUAGUGGCUUACCAAGGCUUUGACGGGUAGCCGGCCUGAGAGGGUGACCGGCCACAUUGGGACGGAGAUACGGCCAAGACUCCUACGGGAGGAAGCAGUGGGGAAUAGUGCACAAUGGGCGGAAGCCUGAGGCAGCAACGCCGCGUGCGGGAUGACGGCCUUCGGGUUGUAAACCGCUUUCGCCUGUGACGAAGCGUGAGUGACGGUAAUGGGUAAAGAAGCACCGGCUAACUACGUG